RNAcentral lists this ribosomal RNA (468 nucleotides) under uncultured bacterium. RNAcentral's name for it is "partial 16S ribosomal RNA". It matches the Rfam family "Bacterial small subunit ribosomal RNA", at positions 28 to 507 of the family's 1533-position model. The record is from RNAcentral.
GACGAACGCUGGCGGCGUGCUUAACACAUGCAAGUCGAACGGAAAGGCCCUGCUUUUGUGGGGUGCUCGAGUGGCGAACGGGUGAGUAACACGUGAGUAACCUGCCCUUGACUUUGGGAUAACUUCAGGAGACUGGGGCUAAUACCGGAUAGGAGCUCCUGCUGCAUGGUGGGGGUUGGAAAGUUUCGGCGGUUGGGGAUGGUCUCGCGGCUUAUCAGCUUGUUGGUGGGGUAGUGGCUUACCAAGGCUUUGACGGGUAGCCGGCCUGGGAGGGUGACCGGCCACAUUGGGACUGAGAUACGGCCCAGACUCCUACGGGAGGCAGCAGUGGGGAAUAUUGCACAAUGGGCGGAAGCCUGAUGCAGCAACGCCGCGUGCGGGAUGACGGCCUUCGGGUUGUAAACCGCUUUCGCCUGUGACGAAGCGUGAGUGACGGUAAUGGGUAAAGAAGCACCGGCUAACUACGUG